Molecule: ribosomal RNA, 253 nt
Filed under: uncultured bacterium
Lineage: Bacteria
Description: partial 16S ribosomal RNA
Rfam family: Bacterial small subunit ribosomal RNA
Source: RNAcentral
UACGAAGGGGGCUAGCGUUGCUCGGAAUUACUGGGCGUAAAGGGCGCGUAGGCGGAUAUUUAAGUCGGGGGUGAAAGCCCAGGGCUCAACCCUGGAAUUGCCUUCGAUACUGGAUAUCUUGAGUUCGGGAGAGGUGAGUGGAAUGCCGAGUGUAGAGGUGAAAUUCGUAGAUAUCAGGAGGAACACCAAUGGCGAAGGCAGCUCGCUGGAACGGUACUGACGCUGAGGCGCGAAAGCGUGGGGAGCGAACAGG